CCGACCUUAGCUCAGUUGGUAGAGCGGAGGACUGUAGUUGGUGCAGACAAUCCUUAGGUCGCUGGUUCGAAUCCGGCAGGUCGGA
RNAcentral lists this transfer RNA (85 nucleotides) under Phaseolus vulgaris (common bean). RNAcentral describes it as "tRNA tRNA-Tyr". It matches the Rfam family "tRNA". From Rfam's summary of the family: Transfer RNA (tRNA) molecules are approximately 80 nucleotides in length. Their secondary structure includes four short double-helical elements and three loops (D, anti-codon, and T loops). Lineage: Eukaryota; Viridiplantae; Streptophyta; Magnoliopsida; Fabales; Fabaceae. The record is from Rfam by way of RNAcentral.